RNAcentral lists this ribosomal RNA (760 nucleotides) under uncultured soil bacterium. RNAcentral's name for it is "bacterial SSU rRNA". It matches the Rfam family "Bacterial small subunit ribosomal RNA", at positions 740 to 1501 of the family's 1533-position model. The record is from RNAcentral.
CUGACACUGAGGAACGAAAGCUAGGGGAGCAAACAGGAUUAGAUACCUUGGUAGUCCUAGCCCUAAACCAUCAGGACUUGGGGUGGCCCGCGUAGGCGUGUCGUCCAGUAGCUAACGCGUUAAGUCUUGCGCCUGGGGAGUACGGUCGCAAGACUGAAACUCAAAGGAAUUGACGGGGGCCCGCACAAGCGGUGGAACAUGUGGUUCAAUUCGACGCAACGCGAAGAACCUUACCUGGGCUUGAACCGCUACUGACCAACGGUAGAAAUAUCGUCUUCCCGCAAGGGACAGUAGUAGAGGUGCUGCAUGGCUGUCGUCAGCUCGUGCCGUGAGGUGUUGGGUUAAGUCCCGCAACGAGCGCAACCCUUACUCGUAGUUGCUACCCGCAAGGGAGAACUCUACGAGGACUGCUCCGGAUAACGGAGAGGAAGGUGGGGAUGACGUCAAGUCAGCACGGCCUUUAUGUCCAGGGCUACACACGUGUUACAAUGCACGGUACAGACUGUUGCGAACCCGCGAGGGGGAGCUAAUCGGAUAAAACCGUGCUCAGUUCGGAUUGCAGUCUGCAACUCGGCUGCAUGAAGCUGGAAUCGCUAGUAAUGGCGUAUCAGAUCGACGCCGUGAAUACGUUCCCGGGCCUUGUACACACCGCCCGUCACAUCACGAAAGUGAGCUGUACUAGAAGUCGCGCAGCUAACCGCAAGGAAGCACGCGCCCAAGGUAUGGCCCAUGAUUGGGGUGAAGUCGUAACAAGGUAACC